AACGCACCUUGCGCUCCUUGGUAUUCCGAGGAGCAUGCCUGUUUGAGUGUCAUUAAAUUCUCAACUCCUGAUGGAGCUUGGAUAUGGGAGUCUGCGGGCCCAAUAGAUGGGUCGGCUCUCCUGAAAUACAUUAGCGGAACCGUUUGCAGUUGCGUCACUAGUGUGAUAAUUAUCUACACUGUGAUGGACUGCUCUCUGAGGAGUUCAGCUGCUAAUCGUCCGUUUGGGACAAAAGUACAGUGAUGACUUGACCUCAAAUCAGGUAGGACUACCCGCUGAACUUAA
Molecule: unclassified non-coding RNA, 285 nt
Filed under: uncultured Agaricales
Lineage: Eukaryota; Fungi; Basidiomycota; Agaricomycetes; Agaricales
Description: sequence contains 5.8S rRNA gene, ITS2, 28S rRNA gene
Rfam family: 5.8S ribosomal RNA (bases 1-52)
Source: RNAcentral